AUGACGAAGCUCAAGAGCCUGACGUCGUCGGUGGGGAAGGGGGAGAGCGCGGGGAGUGCUCGGCAGAUUGCCGGGUCGCCGAUGAAGCUGCUGGUGCGCGUUCUCGAGGCGCGCGGCCUGCUGCCGGUGCACCUCAACGGCUCCAGCGACCCCUUCGUCAAGCUGCAGCUCGGCAAGCGCCGCGCCAAGACGGCCGUCGUCAAGAAGAGCCUCACCCCCGCCUGGGACGAGGAGUUCAGCUUCCUCGUCGGCGACGUCACCGAGGAGCUCUCCGUCUCCGUGCUCAACGAGGACAAGUACUUCACCAACGACCUCCUCGGCAAGGUCAAGGUGCCGCUCUCCAAGGUCAUGGAGGCCGAGGACUUCAACCUCGGCACCGCCUGGUACCAGCUCCAGCCCAAGAGCAAGAAGUCCAAGAAGAAAGAACGCGGGGAAAUUUGCCUGCGCAUAUCCUUGUCUACACGCUCGCACGUGUCUGAAGAAUCGCACCAGCAACAACCCACUUCGGAUGGCGCAGCAUCCAGUUCAGACAGGUCAAUUGGGAACAAAGAUGGAACUUUGUCAACCAGCAAUAGCUACAUUGACAUGUCAGCCCUUGCCAGUUUGGACCGAUCAUCACAGGGAAGUAUGGAACGAUUAGGGGAUGGUGCUGUGGACCAACCGCCCGGGACCAGCAUUGACCAAGCAGUCACUGAACCUGGAACCGCUGUUUCUAAUGAUGCGAUGGCGAAUACGUCGUCGGUGGUAGAGGUCUUGUCUCGCUAUUUCUUUGGGAAACCUGCUGAUACUAAUCUGCCUUCCAUCGUUGCCUCUGACGCUGAGUCAGUGGUGGAGCAGUCCGAAGAGCCAAAAGUUUGCUCUGUAGACCGUGAAAGUCCCGAGAAUGGCACGCCAUCUGAGUCAAACCUUGAUGAGCUACUGAAAAUCAUGGAGUCCAAAGAUCAAGGCUGUGAAAUGCCAGCAAAACUGGCUAACGGCGUUCUAGUUGAUGAAUCUUAUGUUAUUGCACCAGCUGGACUGAAUUCCCUCUUGUUUUCUCCAAAUUCAGAUUUCUGGCCAGCAGUAGCAGAGCUUCAAGGAACAAGUGGAUUUCAGAUUGAACCAUGGAAGAUCGAUAGCAACGAUGGUUGUUUGCGAAGAACAUUAAGUUACAUAAAAGCCGCUAGUAAGCUGGUUAAAGCUUGCAAAGCCACAGAAGAGCAGAAAUACUUAAAAGCAGCUGGGAAUUCUUUCGCUGUUUUGUCUAUUGUUAGCACACCUGAUGUUCCUUAUGGCAGUUGUUUCAAGAUAGAGAUAUUGUACUGUAUAACGCCAGGUCCCCACUUAUCAUCUGAAGAGCAAACAGCACAUCUUACUGUAAGUUGGCGGAUCAACUUUCUUCAGAGCACAAUGAUGAAAGGAAUGAUUGAGAGUGGUGCAAAACAAGGCAUGUCAGAAGGUUAUGCACAAUUUUCUGAUGUACUGUCCCAAAGGUUUAAAGUAGCUGAGCUUGAUGAUGCCAAUUCAAACAAAGAAAAGAUUUUAGCCUCACUACAAGCACAUAAAGAACCAAGCUGGAGGUUGAUUGUCCGCUUCCUUGGGAACUUCACAUUCAUAUUCUCUGUUAUCAUAGGGAUAUAUGUUAUAGUUCACCUUCAUUUAUCAAGGCCCAAAGUGAUGAAUGGGCUUGAAUAUUUUGGCAUUGACCUUCCAGAUUCAAUUGGAGAGGUUGUAGUUUGUGCUGUCUUGAUCCUUCAGGGACAGACCAUCCUGAAAGUAAUAAAGCGCUUCUUGAAUGCAUGGAGACAAAGAGGUAGUGAUCAUGGAGUCAAAGCUCAUGGAGAUGGCUGGUUACUGACUGUUGCACUUAUUGAGGGUACUGGUAUACUAUCUGCUGGUUCAUCUCAACCAUUUGACCUAUAUGCUGUUUUUACCUGCAACACGAAGAGGAAAACAAGCUCAAUUAAAUUCCACACAUCUGAUCCAAAAUGGAACGAGAUAUUCGAAUUUGAUGCAAUGGAUGAUCCACCAUCAAGGAUGGAUGUAGCUAUUCAUGACUCGAAUCAAUUAGAUGAAGCUCCCAUUGGUCACGCCGAAGUGAACUUCCUGAAGAGCAAUUUGUCAGAUUUAAUGGACAUAUGGGUUCCUCUUGAUGGGAAGUGUGAUCCAGCAAGCAACCCUAAGCUACAUUUGAGAAUAUUUUUGAACAACUCGAGAGGAACUGAAGUUGUUCUGAAUUACCUGGCAAAGAUGGGGAAUGAAGUCGGUAAGAAGAUAAAUUUGCGGUCAGCACAAACAAAUUUAGCAUUCCGAAAGCUCUUUAACCUCCCUCCUGAAGAGUUCCUCAUCGAUGAUUUCACCUGUCAUCUAAAACGGAAGAUGCCACUUCAGGGACGAGUAUUUUUUUCUCCAAGAAUAAUUGGAUUCUACUCUAAUAUAUUUGGUCACAAGACCAAGUUUUUCUUUCUGUGGGAAGACGUUGAUGAUAUCCAGGUUAUCCCUCCUACACUGUCAAUUGGCAGCCCAUCCUUGAUGGUUAUCCUUAGAAAGGAUAGAGGGUCAGAAGCAAAACAUGGUGCCAAGGCAACAGAUCAUCAUGGAAGACUCAAGUUCCAUUUUCAGUCCUUUGUUUCGUUCAAUGAUGCUCACAGAAUAAUCAUGGGGAUCUGGAAAAUGCGAUCACCGGGUCAAGAACAGAAGGGAGAGGUAAUUGAGGAGUCUGAACCAAAAGAACUCCAGGCGGAAGAAUGUGGAUCCUUAUUUACCCAUGAGGAUGUCAAAAUGUCCGAAAUAUUCUCAUCAGUUCUUUCUGUGGACGUUGAGUCCUUGAUGGAGAUGUUUUCAGGAGGUCAGUUGGAACAGAAAGUGAUGCAAAAGACUGGCUGUCUGGACUACUCAUCAACAGAAUGGGAACUUGUAGGCAGAAAUAUAUACAAGCGGCAAAUCAGCUACAAGUUUGACAAAGCAUUGUCUCGAUAUGGAGGAGAAGCAAGCACCACUCAGCAGAAGUAUGCCCUAGUGAACCAAGAUGGCUGGGCCAUUGAAGAGGUGAUGACCCUCCAAGGUGUUCUACUUGGGGACUUCUUUAAUCUCCAGCUAAAGUAUCAUAUGGCGAACAUACCAUCAAAACCAAACACCUGCAACGUGCAGGUCUUGUUGAGGAUUGCCUGGUUAAAAAGCACCAAGCAACAAAAGAAGAUCACAAAAAAUAUCAUGUCCAACACCUCAAAUAGAUUGAAGGAGCUCUUUUCCGAAGUCGUAAAGGAUCUUACGUCAAGAAACGGUUGA
RNAcentral lists this ribosomal RNA (3267 nucleotides) under Triticum aestivum (bread wheat). Its description in RNAcentral is "partial small subunit ribosomal RNA". The record is from RNAcentral. Lineage: Eukaryota; Viridiplantae; Streptophyta; Magnoliopsida; Poales; Poaceae.